UAGUUUUACUUCCUUGGUCUUCCUCAGAA
RNAcentral lists this non-coding RNA (29 nucleotides) under Mus musculus (house mouse). Lineage: Eukaryota; Metazoa; Chordata; Mammalia; Rodentia; Muridae. The record is from RNAcentral.